RNAcentral lists this ribosomal RNA (195 nucleotides) under Campylobacter jejuni. Its description in RNAcentral is "partial 16S ribosomal RNA". It matches the Rfam family "Bacterial small subunit ribosomal RNA", at positions 1 to 190 of the family's 1533-position model. Lineage: Bacteria; Pseudomonadati; Campylobacterota; Epsilonproteobacteria; Campylobacterales; Campylobacteraceae. The record is from RNAcentral.
UUUAUGGAGAGUUUGAUCCUGGCUCAGAGUGAACGCUGGCGGCGUGCCUAAUACAUGCAAGUCGAACGAUGAAGCUUCUAGCUUGCUAGAAGUGGAUUAGUGGCGCACGGGUGAGUAAGGUAUAGUUAAUCUGCCCUACACAAGAGGACAACAGUUGGAAACGACUGCUAAUACUCUAUACUCCUGCUUAACACA